Molecule: transfer RNA, 71 nt
Filed under: Terrestrivirus sp.
Lineage: Varidnaviria; Bamfordvirae; Nucleocytoviricota; Megaviricetes; Imitervirales; Mimiviridae
Description: tRNA-Val
Source: RNAcentral
UGCUCGUAUCAAGAAUCGAACUUGAGAUUUUGCCGUGUAAAAGCAACGUUAUACCAUUUAACUAUACAAGC